UCAGAAGGACAGCAGAAGGGGGGAAGAGACACAGCUGCUCCUUAGGUUUUUUUUUUUUACCAUGCCACAGCCUUGUGGUGUGGGGCUGAUAGCUCCUUCUCUCUUCCCGGCUUUGGAAGGGCAGUGGGAGGGUGAGGGAGCUGCAGCCACUUCUGUUGUUUUCCGGCACAGUGAUGGGUGCUCCUUCGCUGUUUCUUCCCCCUCCCCUCCUGGCUUUGGAGGGGUGGUGGGAGGACAAGGAAGCCUGGCAAAUAGAAAAGCGGCGGCAAGCAGGCUGGCAUGGAGGUGGGCUAAUCGCGCUCUCGGAGGUGCCUCAACUGCACUCCCCAGAGGAUGGCGCCUUCUGCAAAUGCGUAGUUUGUGUAUAGCUUGAGCCAACCCUGAGCAUCCCAUUAGUUACUUCUUUUCAGGAUGAAGUAUAGCCACUGAUAAGCACUCUUUGGGUAUGUUUGGUCAACUAGUUCCCAACCCACCAAACAAUAGCAUUAUCUAGUCCACAUUUUACUAACUCUUUCCCUUGCCUUUUAAGAAAAGGAGGAAAGGGGGAGAUGCUUUUAUGUACUGUGAUCUUUUUUGCACACUUUUAUCAAUUAAUUCCCUUCUUCUGUCCUAUUUAAGAAAAGGUUUAGUUUCUCAUUAUUUCAAUUCCUGAUUGCUGUCGUUUCCUGCUCUUGUAUUUAUUUUUGUUAGUAUUAUGCUGCUUCCAGGCAGACUGGAAAGAGAAGAAUUACCACCAGGAUAAACAACACAACUGCUGCACAGAUGCUGCAUAACUCAUGCCAGAUACUAAAGCAAAGCAAAUUGUGGUUAUUGAGAGGGCUUUUGAACUUCAUGCAAGGAAAGCUAGCACACCAAGUGACCCUGUUCAUUAAACCUCACAACUGAUGUCUUUGUAGAGGUGAAUAAGUAAGUUUUCAUGGCAAUUCUAAGAUUUUAUUUCUAUCCUACGAAGGCGUACAUAUGCUAUGAUAAAUUCCAUAUUCUUUUGCCCUUUCUAUCAUCACAAAAGGCAUAGUUUCAAAGUGAUUGUAUUUGUGUAGAAUAUAAAUAUCCCAGAGCCUCUGCCAAAUAAUUUUAUUGGACUACGGCUCCCAGAAUCCCAUACAGUUGUCAUGCUUAGGUCAGGCUCUGGAUGAUUCUGUGAGCAUAAUUUUCCCAUGCUCUGGACUAGUGCUAAACUUUUCCUUUUACUAGGCAUUUAUCAAUGUACAUCACAAUACUGUGACUCUGGAGACCAGGUUUGAACCCCUGCUUGGCCAGGAAAACCUGCUGGAUGACCUUGGGCAACUCUCAGUUCCAGAAAACUUGUGAUAGGUUUGCUUUAGGGUCAUUGUAAGUCAGAAAUGACUUGAAAGCACACAACAGAAAUUCACAUGUUUGUGGACAACACAAGAUGAAAGAGCAUGGCCAAAAGAUAUUAACACUAGUUUUCAUCUGAUUAAUUUGAACAGAAUCUUCAUUCACAGAAUAACCAUCAGCUUUGCUGCUAUGAGUGCUAUCGUCAGGAUAGAGAAACCAACGUUGUAGUUCUCUGAUGAAAGUGGCUGAUCACAUGGAGCUCGCACAUCCUUGUUCUCAGCUUCCAAAAUGUGUUAAGUGAAGAUUUGGAAAAUAGUUCUGGAAUUUCAUGGGCAUGCCUUCUCUUUGUAAACAAUAGCUGUGAUCAUCACCAUUGGUUAUGUUUUGCAUAAAGAGUCAAGCACAUUCUGAAUGGAUACUAGACGGGUAUAUGUUCUAGGGCAGCCAGAUGUGCUUUAUCAAGGACAGUCAUCUUUCUGAAAUAAUUCCUCUGUAUUGAAGGACUAAAUUCUAGAUGACCUGGUGUCUCUUUGGACCACUAUAUAGUUUGGACUUCGAGCAAGGACUAGAGACUUGUACGGAGCAAAAUGUGGAUGUGAACUGAUGACUUAUAUAGCAAAAUGUAGAUGUGGCCUCAAGUGACUGCAUUACUUACCAACUAACUCAGAGACACAAGAGGAAGAACUGAAAGAUUCUAUGAUGGCCUGACCUAUCUCACAGAUUUGUGGUUUGAUGAAAUGCAGAGGAAAACAGCCAUGAACACUACAUUGAGCUCUUUGGAGGAAAGACAGGAUAUAAAUGUGUUAGCAAUAAUGAAAUAAACAUUGCAAAUGUU
Anolis carolinensis (green anole) is the source of this 2134-nucleotide long non-coding RNA. RefSeq lists it as uncharacterized. NCBI's taxonomy places the organism in Eukaryota, Metazoa, Chordata, Lepidosauria, Squamata, Anolidae. The record is from RefSeq and is a predicted model, not a curated record. The transcript has 2 exons.